This 310-nucleotide ribosomal RNA is filed under the name Salmonella enterica subsp. enterica serovar Pomona. Its description in RNAcentral is "partial 23S ribosomal RNA". It matches the Rfam family "Bacterial large subunit ribosomal RNA", at positions 137 to 485 of the family's 2925-position model. Lineage: Bacteria; Pseudomonadati; Pseudomonadota; Gammaproteobacteria; Enterobacterales; Enterobacteriaceae. The record is from RNAcentral.
GACUCGUCACACUAUCAUUAACUGAAUCCAUAGGUUAAUGAGGCGAACCGGGGGAACUGAAACAUCUAAGUACCCCGAGGAAAAGAAAUCAACCGAGAUUCCCCCAGUAGCGGCGAGCGAACGGGGAGGAGCCCAGAGCCUGAAUCAGCAUGUGUGUUAGUGGAAGCGUCUGGAAAGGCGCGCGAUACAGGGUGACAGCCCCGUACACAAAAGCGCAUGUGCUGUGAGCUCGAUGAGUAGGGCGGGACACGUGGUAUCCUGUCUGAAUAUGGGGGGACCAUCCUCCAAGGCUAAAUACUCCUGACUGACC